GGUAAAAUGGCCGAGUAUCAGGUGGCGGUUUGUAGCACCGUGUACAGAGGUUCAAUUCCUCUUUUUACCA
This 70-nucleotide transfer RNA is filed under the name Trigonopoma gracile (blackstripe rasbora). Its description in RNAcentral is "tRNA-Tyr". It matches the Rfam family "tRNA". Rfam says of the family: Transfer RNA (tRNA) molecules are approximately 80 nucleotides in length. Their secondary structure includes four short double-helical elements and three loops (D, anti-codon, and T loops). Lineage: Eukaryota; Metazoa; Chordata; Actinopteri; Cypriniformes; Danionidae. The record is from RNAcentral.